RNAcentral lists this ribosomal RNA (581 nucleotides) under Escherichia coli. RNAcentral's name for it is "partial 23S ribosomal RNA". It matches the Rfam family "Bacterial large subunit ribosomal RNA", at positions 690 to 1268 of the family's 2925-position model. The record is from RNAcentral. Lineage: Bacteria; Pseudomonadati; Pseudomonadota; Gammaproteobacteria; Enterobacterales; Enterobacteriaceae.
GGGCGUUAAGUUGCAGGGUAUAGACCCGAAACCCGGUGAUCUAGCCAUGGGCAGGUUGAAGGUUGGGUAACACUAACUGGAGGACCGAACCGACUAAUGUUGAAAAAUUAGCGGAUGACUUGUGGCUGGGGGUGAAAGGCCAAUCAAACCGGGAGAUAGCUGGUUCUCCCCGAAAGCUAUUUAGGUAGCGCCUCGUGAAUUCAUCUCCGGGGGUAGAGCACUGUUUCGGCAAGGGGGUCAUCCCGACUUACCAACCCGAUGCAAACUGCGAAUACCGGAGAAUGUUAUCACGGGAGACACACGGCGGGUGCUAACGUCCGUCGUGAAGAGGGAAACAACCCAGACCGCCAGCUAAGGUCCCAAAGUCAUGGUUAAGUGGGAAACGAUGUGGGAAGGCCCAGACAGCCAGGAUGUUGGCUUAGAAGCAGCCAUCAUUUAAAGAAAGCGUAAUAGCUCACUGGUCGAGUCGGCCUGCGCGGAAGAUGUAACGGGGCUAAACCAUGCACCGAAGCUGCGGCAGCGACACUAUGUGUUGUUGGGUAGGGGAGCGUUCUGUAAGCCUGUGAAGGUGUGCUGUGAGG